AACGAACGCUGGCGGCAGGCCUAACACAUGCAAGUCGAGCGCGCCCUUCGGGGUGAGCGGCGGACGGGUGAGUAACGCGUGGGAACGUGCCCUUCUCUGCGGAAUAGCCUCGGGAAACUGAGAGUAAUACCGCAUACGCCCUUUGGGGGAAAGAUUUUUCGGAGAAGGAUCGGCCCGCGUUGGAUUAGGUAGUUGGUGGGGUAAUGGCCCACCAAGCCGACGAUCCAUAGCUGGUUUGAGAGGAUGAUCAGCCACACUGGGACUGAGACACGGCCCAGCCUCCUACGGGAGGCAGCAGUGGGGAAUCUUAGACAAUGGGGGCAACCCUGAUCUAGCCAUGCCGCGUGAGUGAUGAAGGCCUUAGGGUUGUAAAGCUCUUUCAGCUGGGAAGAUAAUGACGGUACCAGCAGAAGAAGCCCCGGCUAACUCCGUG
This 433-nucleotide ribosomal RNA is filed under the name uncultured bacterium. RNAcentral's name for it is "partial 16S ribosomal RNA". It matches the Rfam family "Bacterial small subunit ribosomal RNA", at positions 29 to 507 of the family's 1533-position model. The record is from RNAcentral.